CCUGGCGGCACUAGCGCGGUGGUCCCACCUGACCCCAUGCCGAACUCAGAAGUGAAACGCCGUAGCGCCGAUGGUAGUGUGGG
This 83-nucleotide ribosomal RNA is filed under the name Klebsiella oxytoca. The record is from RNAcentral. RNAcentral also lists the same sequence under 23 other names. Lineage: Bacteria; Pseudomonadati; Pseudomonadota; Gammaproteobacteria; Enterobacterales; Enterobacteriaceae.